Molecule: transfer RNA, 56 nt
Filed under: Diaphanoeca grandis
Lineage: Eukaryota; Choanoflagellata; Acanthoecida; Stephanoecidae
Source: RNAcentral
CGUCAGUUCUCAGUCAAAGGAAAAAAAAAAAGUAUAAAAGACCACAAACACGCGAG